CAAUACGAAACCAACAAGAACCCAUUAAAAUACUUUCCCUCCUCCUUUUGUCUAUCCCCUCUUUUCUUCUUUCUCAAUUUCUCACGAUCAUCAAUUAAUCUUCCUUCAAUUAUUCAUCAAUGUCAAAACCAUGCUCAAUUUCCUCCAUUUUCAUCUUCUUCCUCUGAUCUCCUUUAAGAAUUGAGAUAUUAGUGGGUAAAGAUCAAUGGUUAUUGCAGUAGAAGCUCGCAAAUUCGAUCUCCCUAACCUUUCUUUGUCUUCUCCAAAGGUUACAUCUUUUCUAUAUGAACCCAAUUCUCAUUCUUUAGCUUUAAUGCAUUCUGAUUCAAGUUUCUCUCUUUUCCCUUCUUUUUCCCCCUUUUCUUCUAAUUCUAGCUUUUUACCCGCUCCUCAAACCCUAAUUCCGAAUCCGUUUUCUUCUGCUUGUUUUGUGCCGCUUAAUCGUCAUAGCACUAAAAAUCAAGAUUUCCAAGAUGAUAAAAAUGUUGUCUUUGUUGUUUCUGGACCUUACAAUGGUGCGUCUAGGGUUGUUUUGAGAUUUUAUUUGUUGGGUAAAGAUGGAAAAUUUGUGACUGCCCAGGUGGGUUGUAGUCAAAAUGGUGUUCGUUUUGAUAGGAAAUGUGGUGUAAUUGUAGAUGUAAGUUAUGGAAUGAAGGUUAUGCUAUGUGGGUCUGUCAAUUACUUGGCUUUGUACUCAGCUUCAGGUGGGAAAAUGUGGGUUUUUGGGGUGAAAUUGAUAGGUAGUGGGAGGGAUUUAAGGUUGGUUAAGUGUGCUGUAAUUGACUGUACAUUGCCUAUCUCGUCGAUUUGUCUUUCGUUUGGGUUUUUGAUCAUGGGUGAGUUAAGAGGAGUUAGGGUUUUUCCAUUGCGGGCGUUGGUGAAAGGGAGGGUUGGAAAUAGGAGGAGGAUGCGUGUGGCGAAGGUGAAAGGUGAAGAAUUGAAUGUGGAGGAUCAGGAAGGUAAUGUGAAAGUCGAGGGAAGAUACUCGAAGAUUACGAAUGGGGUUACUAGGGUUUCCCAUGAAAGUCAUGAAUUUGAUAAAAAUAGUGGGAAUGUGAGCUCAUCCAAGUUGUUGCCUGAUGGUCAUGCUUAUGGUGUUAUUGGUGGAGUGGCUUUGAGAUCGAUUGCUGAUGGAAAUUUGACGCCGAGAUCUUUAAAAAUUCGACAAGACUCUGGUGAGUGCGGGAUGCAGUUUGUUUUGUUCAAUGAUAGUGUCCGUGAAGAAAUUAAAUCCAGAUUGAUGCCUUCUAACACAACAAAGGCGGUUUCCAUCCAAGCAAUUUCAAAGGAGAAGUUUGUGAUUUUGGAUUCAAAUGGAGAUUUGCAUAUACUUCAAGUGUCGAAAUCUGGCUCUUCUCAAAUGAGACAGUUAACUUGCACCAUCCAAGCACGACAAUUGGCUACAUCUCCCGAUGCAUUUGCUGAUUCGCAUAUCAUUUGGGUAUCCGAGGGACUCUGUUCUGUGCACGUGAUGGUGAUACCUACUUCUGAUACCACAGAGAAGGAGAAUGGUGAGAGCAGUAAUGAUGGAGAGAUCAUUCACAGUUCAGUUACUCGAGCAAUAUUUACGAGCGAGAACAUUCAGAAAAUGGUGCCCUUGGCUGCAAACAAAGUCCUGAUUCUUGGACAAGAUAGCCUCUAUGCUUAUGCAAUUUCUUGAAGUUGUUUGUGGAAUCUUCUUUUGUGCUGGAUAAGUUCUCAUCCUGAUCAAAUAUCAAUCCUUUUUGAGUAAUGGGGCCCCGCAAUCGCUUUCUAUUUAGACUAAUGCCCUGUUUGUUCCAGUGUUCUUAACCCUCUGAUCUAACCUUGACAUAAAGUUAUCGAAGUCAUGAACUGCAGUUGUCAUACAUUUCUCUUAAUGUCGCUUUCAGGACUGGGUGCUCGUCAGGGGAAGGAUCAUCUGGUGAUCAGUUGGAUGCCUGGAAAUGGAGCAGAUUCUAAAUCUUUCUACAUACCGAGCCCUUCCAGUGUCGCAUCCCUCUGCCUACAGACAAAAUAUAUACUGUGCAAGGCUCAGGGAGAGGAACGAAAGGCUCGUGACAGCCAGUAUACGCCUGUUACGGAAUAGUUCACGUCUAUCCUGCCAUCUGUGGAGAAGUACGGGGCAUUUUUGCGUCUUGCUGGUUUACUUCGUGAUUUAGAUGAAACUCCAUUCUUAUUAUUAUGAACCAAUUUAUGUAGUUAAAGUUCGUAUUUUGUCUUCCUUUUGAACUCUGGGAAUGCCUGAUUAGUUGCACUAUUACACCUCUAAGAAAGCUUCAUGUAAUCUAUUUUUUUUUUUUUUUUGAAAUUCUACUUGAUUAUCGUUGAUCGACUGUUAUUUAUCAUCUUCGUCGUUCUUUUGAUAAAUUAACAAAACACGGUAUCUCUAUCCUACAACCAAUUGGUUACUUCCUUUUUCUUGAAUAAGCUGUUACAUACUCCUUUGUUUGAUGUUAAGGAAAAGUCGGGUUUCAAUCGUAACUUACUUCACCUUUUGGCUUUUCGAGUGAGUGUUCUAGGCGAAGGCAGUUUGUACACCAAUUAAUCUCGGAAAAUUUGUUAAAAUAAUUCUAAUUAUUACUCAUUUU
Molecule: RNA transcript, 2570 nt
Organism: Amaranthus tricolor (Joseph's coat)
Lineage: Eukaryota; Viridiplantae; Streptophyta; Magnoliopsida; Caryophyllales; Amaranthaceae
Exons: 8
Source: RefSeq, a predicted model, not a curated record